RNAcentral lists this long non-coding RNA (360 nucleotides) under Vulpes vulpes (red fox). Its description in RNAcentral is "lncRNA (ENSVVUG00000004959.1)". The record is from RNAcentral. Lineage: Eukaryota; Metazoa; Chordata; Mammalia; Carnivora; Canidae.
AAUCAGACGAGAGCAGACUACAGAACUCUGAGCCUCAGUGUCUUGAGCUGUGCAAUGGGGGUGCUAGCGGAAGCCGAGCACAUCUGUCCAGUGUCAGCACUGUGUCUGUCUGGGGAGGUGCUCAGAACAGAUCUGCCGAGUGAAGCGCAGCUCUUGUCUCUGGCCUCAGCGUGGCCCUGACAGCCAUCAGGGAAAACAGCACGAAGCAGAGAUCUGAUUCAUCCAGCUCCUCAGGCCAAAUACCUGGCGGAAGGUUCCAGAGUCUCUGAGUCACAAUAUCUAAGUUUAUCGUAGGCACAAUCUGGUUCAGCGUGAGUCCCAUUAGCUCAGGGUCCACCAAGGUCCUGGGACUGGUCCCCC